CCUCCGCCUGGCCCAGCCCCCGCCCGCCUCGCCUCGCAGUCCCCCACCCAGAUGGGCCGCCCAAACCCCUGGCCGCCGCCGGGCCCUCCAGACCCCCAGGAACCGCACGGAGCCCAGCUGGACGCCCGGGGCAUGAAUAUUUCAGUGCUGGAGAAGCUGCCUUCUGCCGAUGUCAUGGCACCGGCUGCUGUGGCAACUCGACGAAUCCCCCAAAGGCCCAGGGAUGAAGCCCGUGGAAGCGGCCCCAGAUAUGUCCUGUGGCUCUCUCCACAUUGGCACACAGAAGAUGUGCCUCCCUCUUUGUGCCUGCUGGCGCCUAUUCCAGAAAAAGACGUGGUGUCAGCACUGAGCCCUUCCCAACACAGGGUCAUGUGUGACUCCAUGGAGCCAGCCAGAACUGCAGACCACAGCCCGGGAGCUGGCAGUCCCCAUGGGAAUGUGCAUAGCCUGAAGAGGGGGACAGUGAGCAAGACCUGCUCCCUCCAUGCUCCGAGCCCCCACCCUGGCCCCACUGUCAUCUACCAAAACACCUAGUGUCCCUUAAAAAAGAGGCGCAGCCGUGGUCAUCCAGUCCCCCAUCUCUGGAUCCUACUGCAGUCGGAUCACCCCAGAAAAGAACUCACUCCCAUUUCAAUCACAGGCUUCAGAGUGGGGCUCCAUCUGUUAUGGUCCAUAUUUUGCUUCCUGCUAGCUAUAAGCAAUCUUCAGGUCACCUCUUUGCGUUACACAGUGAGAAAGUUAUUCCCUUUCCAAUUCUGUUGUAGUCUGUAUAGACACACGAAGAACGUCUCACCUGUGCCAGUCUUUCUUUUAUACCUGAUGAUCCCUCUUUCUUCUGCAGGAAGGGUCAGAGCUUCUGCUCAGCCUCUGGCAGGCAACUUAGACUGCAUUUAAUAACAUUGUUCUAGUAUCACUGUAUUUAUUUUGAUAGCUGUUUUUCAGUUGGCACUGUUUUUAAAUUUAUGGUGGUGAUAAAAAGGUUUUUUUGGGUGAUAGAGAGUUUUUAAAUUUAAGAGUUUAAAAGUAAGGAAUUAAAAUUUCAGUUGGGUUACAAACAGUAUCAUUGGCACAAAGACAGGCCCAGAUCAGUAAAUGUGUGCUUCGAAUGGUUGAAAUUUGGAGCUCUGGGGUUGAAAAGUUAGGUGGAAGCAAUUUUGUAUCAAUGUCCCCCCAAACUGUCCCUAUCCCUGCCAAUCAAGCCAAGGUACCUUUUCAGGCUUAGCCCAAUCUCUCCUCUCUCCUGAGCUGCCACUCAGCUGUAGAAUAUGCAGAUACAUUGAGGCAGUGUUUUUUAUUAGGUAACAAAAAGGGAAGAGACCCGAUGUCCUUCCACAGGGGCUGGUUAGAUGGCCUGCACUCUGAUUUAUCAGUCCUGGGCACCACACUGCUCUUUGGAUCUCCCCAUCCCUAGCUUUGUCUUCUGCAGUCCUCUCCCCUGCCAGUGCCCAGUGCCCAGUGCCCACCCCUCCUCUCUGCAGAACCCCAUUUUUCACCACCUUCUGGAAACCCUACCUGCCUAUGUCCCAGACCCCAGGGCCUUGGACUUCUCUGAGCUUCAGAACCUUCCCUAUCUGGAUGAUUCCCUAUCUGGACAUGCAGCACAGAAUCUUGAGCAAUCUUUUCAUAGUAUGUCGGUCUUGCUUCCAAUCAAAUUGUAAGGUGCCAGAGGACAGG
This is a long non-coding RNA of Heterocephalus glaber (naked mole-rat), 1674 nucleotides long. Lineage: Eukaryota; Metazoa; Chordata; Mammalia; Rodentia; Bathyergidae. The record is from Ensembl.